AUCUUCACUAACUCUGGGUCCUCAUGCUGUUUCUGAGCCACCUGCUCCAGAAACACGGGUGCCACUCUCAUCUGGGCUACCAAAGCACCUGUACCAGACAACUCCAACUGUAGACCUUCAUUCAUGAGCUCGAAGAACUCCCUUACUACUGGCCUCCUCUCUGCUGAAAUAUGGGACAAACUGCCAAGUGAUUUCCGGCUUAAAGCGU
Molecule: long non-coding RNA, 208 nt
Filed under: Manihot esculenta (cassava)
Lineage: Eukaryota; Viridiplantae; Streptophyta; Magnoliopsida; Malpighiales; Euphorbiaceae
Description: long non-coding RNA (MESC_LNC005881)
Source: RNAcentral